Dreissena polymorpha is the source of this 1261-nucleotide long non-coding RNA. RefSeq lists it as uncharacterized. Lineage: Eukaryota; Metazoa; Mollusca; Bivalvia; Myida; Dreissenidae. The record is from RefSeq and is a predicted model, not a curated record. The transcript has 4 exons.
UCUGUGCUUAUCGUUCAAGUUCCGAUCAUACUUUAUGUAUCAGUUUACUUAGUAGCAUAAACUAUUGUAUAUACAUGUACAUACUGAGGUAAAUAGUUUAAAAUCAGGAUAAAGAAGUAUAGUUAAAACUGCUGUACACGUGGGUUCAUAUCCGGAAAAGAAUAAUAAACAAUCAAGUGGCGAUUUCAUCAUGUUCAACACUGAUAUUAACGUAUUUCACAAAUACGAGGAAAGGGCAUAAAGAAGUUUGAACAACCACUUUACUAUUCGCCAGUCAUCCUUGAAUUUCACCUUUAUCCUUUACGGAUGACUGCAAUAGUUCAUAAUCACUCACAAACGAAUAACUAAAAAAAUAGAAGUUAACAUAUUUAUUUUAUAAUACCUCAGAACGAAGUAGAAUUGUGAUUAAUCAACAUUGAUGUGUGAAUUGGUAUCAACAGUAGCCAGCGACGAUUGAAUGAAAGCUUGUGUUAUAUUUUCCAUACAGUGGCCGAUUGAAACUGGAUGACCGUCGCUGACUUAAAUAAAUGGUCAGAGUCAUUAAGCUGUAAGGUAUAUAAACAAAAAUAGCAGCUUUGAGUGCGGUUAAACAGUGUCUGUAUUUCCGAUAUAAUAUGGUUCGCGUACAGCUAAAGCGCACCCUGACGUUAUGCUCAGUGAUAUCGAAGGAUUAAAUGUUAAACGCUGUGCAUUCGAAACCGAUGAUACAUCAAGAAAAAGGUUAUUUCACGAGUGAAAUUGAAGAUGUUGAAUUGUGGGUGAUACACGAGACGUACAAAAUUGUUACUGGAUUUUUAUACGAAAUUUUUUGGAUUACAGAAGUUCGCUGUAUUGGUGAAUCACUUUCCGCGUACUCAGUGUAAUUUAUUACGUGAAUAAAAUCGUCGUCUGAUAUAUCCGGAAGUUAAUUACUGGCUAAAAGCCCUGUCGGAGGGUUGUUAAAGAUUUAAACUUACCGAAGACAGAAACGCUUAUUUCUGAGCUUUUAGGGACCUACCAAGUUUAAUUCUAAAUCUUGCCGAGGCGAACUAGUGCGUUGGAAAUUGUUUUCUUUAGGGAUUACAUGUAUGUGCUUAAAAGUGGAUUACGGCUUUUGAAAUGAUGUUAUCUCACGGAAUAAAGACCUCUCGGGAAUACGAAUUCACGCCCAUAGCGCGUUCUUAGCAAUGACCGGUGCGAUUAGUACUGGACCUACUCGUGUGGAUUCUUAAUGGAUGACAAGACAUUCUUAAUCUACAGAAGUAAAACCUGAGACUUUAAG